RNAcentral lists this long non-coding RNA (853 nucleotides) under Rattus norvegicus (Norway rat). RNAcentral describes it as "long non-coding RNA NONRATT022936". The record is from RNAcentral. Lineage: Eukaryota; Metazoa; Chordata; Mammalia; Rodentia; Muridae.
GACAGUGCUACUGCAGGGUUCUCACCCGCUCCCAAGCCGGAAUCCCCCAAAGAAGGUAAAGGAAGCAAGUCUUCCCCACUCUCUGUAAAGAAUGCCAAACGGAAAAUGGAAGGCCCAAAGAAAGCCAAGGGCGACAGCCCUGUAAAUGGCUUGCUAAAAGGGCAGGAGAGUCGAAGUCAAAGCAGGAGUCGUGAGCAGAGCUACUCAAGGUCCCCAUCACGGUCUGCUUCUCCAAAGAGAAGGAAAAGUGAUAGUGGCUCUACCUCAGGGGGGUCCAAGUCACAGAGUCGUUCUCGGAGCCGCAGUGACUCUCCUCCAAGGCAAGUACACCGUGGUGCUCCCUACAAAGGCUCAGAAGUGAGGGGCUCCCGGAAAUCCAAGGACUGCAAGCACCUCACCCAGAAGCCACACAAGUCUCGUAGCCGGAGCUCCUCCCGUUCCCGCAGCCGGUCACGAGAACGGACAGACAGUUCUGGAAAAUACAAGAAGAAAAGUCAUUACUAUAGAGAUCAAAGACGGGAGCGCUCAAGGUCAUAUGAGCGCACAGGCCAUCGAUAUGAGAGGGACCACCCUGGACACAGCAGGCAUCGGAGGUGAGAUAGGUAGCUGGAUGGAACAGCAAAGGCACACGCCUCCACUGGCGUGGCUUGGUGCUAUUGACAAGCUGUCUCUUCACUCCUAAACUGAUACUCAAUUACGUUAAGCCAAGAAAGAUGAUUUUUCAAAUCUUUGCCUAUAUUAGGUUGUACUUGUGUACAUAUUUUGCAGUGGUUCACAAUGAGAAAAUGGCCUUAAUAGCCCCCUUGUUCUCUAUUCACGUUGUAAAUAAACAUGUUUAAUACAAGUGAAAGCU